GAACUUACCAGGCCUUGACAUGCAGAGAACUUUCCAGAGAUGGAUUGGUGCCUUCGGGAACUCUGACACAGGUGCUGCAUGGCUGUCGUCAGCUCGUGUCGUGAGAUGUUGGGUUAAGUCCCGUAACGAGCGCAACCCUUGUCCUUAGUUACCAGCACGUUAUGGUGGGCACUCUAAGGAGACUGCCGGUGACAAACCGGAGGAAGGUGGGGGAUGACGUCAAGUCAUCAUGGCCCUUACGGCCUGGGCUACACACGUGCUACAAUGGUCGGUACAAAGGGUUGCCAAGCCGCGAGGUGGAGCUAAUCCCAUAAAACCGAUCGUAGUCCGGAUCGCAGUCUGCAACUCGACUGCGUGAAGUCGGAAUCGCUAGUAAUCGUGAAUCAGAAUGUCACGGUGAAUACGUUCCCGGGCCUU
RNAcentral lists this ribosomal RNA (417 nucleotides) under uncultured Pseudomonas sp. Its description in RNAcentral is "bacterial SSU rRNA". It matches the Rfam family "Bacterial small subunit ribosomal RNA", at positions 966 to 1382 of the family's 1533-position model. Lineage: Bacteria; Pseudomonadati; Pseudomonadota; Gammaproteobacteria; Pseudomonadales; Pseudomonadaceae. The record is from RNAcentral.